CUUGUUGGUGGGGUAAUGGCCCACCAAGGCGACGACGGGUAGCCGGCCUGAGAGGGCGACCGGCCACACUGGGACUGAGACACGGCCCAGACUCCUACGGGAGGCAGCAGUGGGGAAUAUUGCGCAAUGGGCGGAAGCCUGACGCAGCGACGCCGCGUGAGGGAUGAAGGCCUUCGGGUCGUAAACCUCUUUCAGCAGGGAAGAAGCGCAAGUGACGGUACCUGCAGAAGAAGCACCGGCUAACUACGUGCCAGCAGCCGCGGUAAUACGUAGGGUGCAAGCGUUGUCCGGAAUUAUUGGGCGUAAAGAGCUCGUAGGCGGUCUGUCGCGUCUGCUGUGAAAACUCAGGGCUUAACCCUGAGCUUGCAGUGGGUACGGGCAGACUAGAGUGCGGUAGGGGAGACUGGAAUUCCUGGUGUAGCGGUGAAAUGCGCAGAUAUCAGGAGGAACACCGGUGGCGAAGGCGGGUCUCUGGGCCGUAACUGACGCUGAGGAGCGAAAGCAUGGGGAGCGAACAGGAUUAGAUACCCUGGUAGUCCAUGCCGUAAACGUUGGGCGCUAGGUGUGGGGCUCUUUCCAUGAGUUCCGUGCCGCAGCUAACGCAUUAAGCGCCCCGCCUGGGGAGUACG
RNAcentral lists this ribosomal RNA (629 nucleotides) under uncultured bacterium. Its description in RNAcentral is "bacterial SSU rRNA". It matches the Rfam family "Bacterial small subunit ribosomal RNA", at positions 245 to 884 of the family's 1533-position model. The record is from RNAcentral.